CUUUAGGCAAACAUUGUGGGUAAAGGAAAGGGGUAAAAAAGGGCAAAGAGGUAGGGGGAGUCAAGAAAGAAUUGGUUCUGUAGUCCAUCAUUGGCGCCUGAGGGGCAUAGGCACUAGGGGGUAGGUCACAGGGGUAGAGAUGAGGGUGAAAAGCCAUCCCUGUGGGUGG
Parasteatoda tepidariorum (common house spider) is the source of this 169-nucleotide non-coding RNA. The record is from RefSeq and is a predicted model, not a curated record. Lineage: Eukaryota; Metazoa; Arthropoda; Arachnida; Araneae; Theridiidae.